GUCGAGCGGAAACGAGUUAUCUGAACCUUCGGGGAACGAUAACGGCGUCGAGCGGCGGACGGGUGAGUAAUGCCUAGGAAAUUGCCCUGAUGUGGGGGAUAACCAUUGGAAACGAUGGCUAAUACCGCAUGAUGCCUACGGGCCAAAGAGGGGGACCUUCGGGCCUCUCGCGUCAGGAUAUGCCUAGGUGGGAUUAGCUAGUUGGUGAGGUAAGGGCUCACCAAGGCGACGAUCCCUAGCUGGUCUGAGAGGAUGAUCAGCCACACUGGAACUGAGACACGGUCCAGACUCCUACGGGAGGCAGCAGUGGGGAAUAUUGCACAAUGGGCGCAAGCCUGAUGCAGCCAUGCCGCGUGUAUGAAGAAGGCCUUCGGGUUGUAAAGUACUUUCAGUCGUGAGGAAGGCGGCGUCGUUAAUAGCGGCGUUGUUUGACGUUAGCGACAGAAGAAGCACCGGCUAACUCCGUGCC
This 469-nucleotide ribosomal RNA is filed under the name Vibrio parahaemolyticus. RNAcentral's name for it is "bacterial SSU rRNA". It matches the Rfam family "Bacterial small subunit ribosomal RNA", at positions 61 to 509 of the family's 1533-position model. Lineage: Bacteria; Pseudomonadati; Pseudomonadota; Gammaproteobacteria; Vibrionales; Vibrionaceae. The record is from RNAcentral.